AGAGUUUGAUCCUGGCUCAGAUUGAACGCUGGCGGCAGGCUUAACACAUGCAAGUCGAGCGGAGAUGAGGUGCUUGCACCUUAUCUUAGCGGCGGACGGGUGAGUAAUGCUUAGGAAUCUGCCUAUUAGUGGGGGACAACAUUCCGAAAGGAAUGCUAAUACCGCAUACGUCCUACGGGAGAAAGCAGGGGAUCUUCGGACCUUGCGCUAAUAGAUGAGCCUAAGUCGGAUUAGCUAGUUGGUGGGGUAAAGGCCCACCAAGGCGACGAUCUGUAGCGGGUCUGAGAGGAUGAUCCGCCACACUGGGACUGAGACACGGCCCAGACUCCUACGGGAGGCAGCAGUGGGGAAUAUUGGACAAUGGGGGGAACCCUGAUCCAGCCAUGCCGCGUGUGUGAAGAAGGCCUUAUGGUUGUAAAGCACUUUAAGCGAGGAGGAGGCUACUGAGACUAAUACUCUUGGAUAGUGGACGUUACUCGCAGAAUAAGCACCGGCUAACUCUGUGCCAGCAGCCGCGGU
RNAcentral lists this ribosomal RNA (519 nucleotides) under uncultured Acinetobacter sp. RNAcentral's name for it is "bacterial SSU rRNA". It matches the Rfam family "Bacterial small subunit ribosomal RNA", at positions 8 to 521 of the family's 1533-position model. Lineage: Bacteria; Pseudomonadati; Pseudomonadota; Gammaproteobacteria; Moraxellales; Moraxellaceae. The record is from RNAcentral.